Non-coding RNA from Schistosoma rodhaini, 48 nucleotides. The record is from Rfam. Lineage: Eukaryota; Metazoa; Platyhelminthes; Trematoda; Strigeidida; Schistosomatidae.
AUCCAGCUGACGAAUCUCAAAUAGGACAAUGAAACACGUGUCCUGGAU